Molecule: ribosomal RNA, 431 nt
Filed under: uncultured bacterium
Lineage: Bacteria
Description: partial 16S ribosomal RNA
Rfam family: Bacterial small subunit ribosomal RNA
Source: RNAcentral
AACGAACGCUGGCGGCAGGCUUAACACAUGCAAGUCGAACGCCCCGCAAGGGGAGUGGCAGACGGGUGAGUAACGCGUGGGAACAUACCCUUUUCUACGGAAUAGCUCUGGGAAACUGGAAUUAAUACCGUAUACGCCCUACGGGGGAAAGAUUUAUCGGGGAAGGAUUGGCCCGCGUUGGAUUAACUAGUUGGUGGGGUAAAGGCCUACCAAGGCGACGAUCCAUAGCUGGUCUGAGAGGAUGAUCAGCCACAUUGGGACUGAGACACGGCCCAAACUCCUACGGGAGGCAGCAGUGGGGAAUAUUGGACAAUGGGCGCAAGCCUGAUCCAGCCAUGCCGCGUGAGUGAUGAAGGCCUUAGGGUUGUAAAGCUCUUUCACCGAUGAAGAUAAUGACGGUAGUCGGAGAAGAAGCCCCGGCUAACUUCGUG